CAUGUACUGUGCGAACGUUAUUCGGAAUCACUGGGCUUAAAGGGUGCGUAGGCGGCGAUUCAAGUCAGAUGUGAAAUGCCUGAGCUCAACUGAGGCAUUGCGUUUGAGACUGAAUUGCUAGAGUAUUUCAGGGGUGUGCGGAACUGCCAGUGGAGCGGUGAAAUGUGUUGAUAUUGGCAGGAACACCGGAGGCGUAAGCGGCACACUGGGGAAUAACUGACGCUGAGGCACGAAAGCUAGGAGAGCGAACGGG
This 253-nucleotide ribosomal RNA is filed under the name uncultured bacterium. Its description in RNAcentral is "partial 16S ribosomal RNA". It matches the Rfam family "Bacterial small subunit ribosomal RNA", at positions 524 to 776 of the family's 1533-position model. The record is from RNAcentral.